Molecule: ribosomal RNA, 324 nt
Filed under: uncultured eukaryote
Lineage: Eukaryota
Description: partial 18S ribosomal RNA
Rfam family: Eukaryotic small subunit ribosomal RNA
Source: RNAcentral
CCCUUAGAUGUUCUGGGCCGCACGCGCGCUACACUGAUGCAUUCAACGAGUUUCUUCCUGGUCCGAGAGGAAUGGGUAACCUUUUGAAAAUGCAUCGUGAUAGGGAUAGACUAUUGCAAUUAUUGGUCUUCAACGAGGAAUUCCUAGUAGACGUAGUUCAUCAGACUGCAUCGAUUACGUCCCUGCCCUUUGUACACACCGCCCGUCGCUCCCACCGAUUGAAUGCUCAGGUGAGCCAUUCGGACUUUCAUCAUGCUGGUUUCCAGUUUUGAUGAAGGAAAGUCUUGCGAACCUUAUCAUUUAGAGGAAGGAGAAGUCGUAACA